This is a long non-coding RNA of Drosophila yakuba, 766 nucleotides long. RefSeq lists it as uncharacterized. The record is from RefSeq and is a predicted model, not a curated record. NCBI's taxonomy places the organism in Eukaryota, Metazoa, Arthropoda, Insecta, Diptera, Drosophilidae. The transcript is spliced from 2 exons.
UACGAAUAGGGUUUCCAAACAAAGAAAUUGAUGAUUUCAACGCCAUUACACAACUUUCUGCACUUAAUGUGAAAGUGUGGUAAAGAUAAACGUACUUGGUAAAUGCAUCGAUCUGUACAAUUACAUAUUCCUUACGAUCGCUUUUACCACUAAGCUUGCCUGUUAUGUCUAUGUGGAUAGUAUGCCAUGGAACGUUUAUUUUGGGAAUAGGAUGUAAUUCCAUUUGUACUUUCCCAGAGGAUGAUUUGGAAACUCUGCACGUUAUGCAAUUUUCAACAAAUCUUCGAACGUAUUUGGCCAUGCCCUCAAACCAAUAGUAAUCGUAUACCUUGUCGAGUGUUUUCUCCCAGCCCAGAUGCAUUAUGGAUUCAUGUACUUGGUUAAUAACCGACCAUCUAAAUCCGCGAGGCACUACUGGCAAACACAGCGUCUUGCCAUUUCUUUGUAUCACUCUAUACAAAACUCCACCUCUCAAAUCAUAUGUCUUAGACAGCUCGAAUGGUAAUUCAUCAUCGUUCAACUUGAUACUUCAGUUAAUUCGAUUCGCUUCUCAACGAUCUUUGCAUAUUCAGGGGAAUUUUCCGGAGGAAGUGGAUUUCUGGAAAAGAAAUCAGCAUGGGCCAUACGCUUGCCUUCCCUAUACUGUAUAUCAAAAUCGAAGGACUGCAAAUAAGCCCACCAGCGAUAGACUCUAGGCAACAACUCAAUCUUAUUUCGUGAUGAUUUUAACGAAUUACAGUCAGUGAAUAUUACAAACUUUCUGCCA